GCGGAUGUGGCGGAACUGGCAGACGCGCUAGACUUAGGAUCUAGUCUCUACGAGGUGCAGGUUCAAGUCCUGUCAUCCGCA
This 81-nucleotide transfer RNA is filed under the name Roseburia intestinalis. Its description in RNAcentral is "tRNA-Leu". It matches the Rfam family "tRNA". Rfam says of the family: Transfer RNA (tRNA) molecules are approximately 80 nucleotides in length. Their secondary structure includes four short double-helical elements and three loops (D, anti-codon, and T loops). Further hydrogen bonds mediate the characteristic L-shaped molecular structure. tRNAs have two regions of fundamental functional importance: the anti-codon, which is responsible for specific mRNA codon recognition, and the 3' end, to which the tRNAs corresponding amino acid is attached (by aminoacyl-tRNA synthetases). tRNAs cope with the degeneracy of the genetic code in two manners: having more than one tRNA (with a specific anti-codon) for a particular amino acid; and 'wobble' base-pairing, i.e. permitting non-standard base-pairing at the 3rd anti-codon position. Lineage: Bacteria; Bacillati; Bacillota; Clostridia; Lachnospirales; Lachnospiraceae. The record is from RNAcentral. RNAcentral also lists the same sequence under 8 other names.